CCUACGGGAGGCAGCAGUGAGGAAUAUUGGUCAAUGGGCGCGAGCCUGAACCAGCCACGCAGCGUGAAGGAUGACUGCCCUACGGGUUGUAAACUUCUUUUAUAAAGAAAUAAAGUGAGGCACGUGUGCCUUUUUGUAUGUACUUUAUGUAUAAGGAUCGGCUAACUCCGUGCCAGCAGCCGCGGUAAUACGGAGGAUCCGAGCGUUAUCCGGAUUUAUUGGGUUUAAAGGGAGCGUAGAUGGGUUGUUAAGUCAGUUGUGAAAGUUUGCGGCUCAACCGUAAAAUUGCAAUUGAUACUGGCAGCCUUGAGUACAGUAGAGGUAGGCGGAAUUCGUGGUGUAGCGGUGAAAUGCUUAGAUAUCACGAAGAACACCGAUUGCGAAGGCAGCUUACUAAACUGCCACUGACGUUGAUGCUCGAAAGUGUGGGUAUCAAACAGGAUUAGAUACCCGGGUAGUC
Molecule: ribosomal RNA, 460 nt
Filed under: uncultured bacterium
Lineage: Bacteria
Description: partial 16S ribosomal RNA
Rfam family: Bacterial small subunit ribosomal RNA
Source: RNAcentral